GGUCGCUUGGCGCAGUUGGUAGCGCACGGUACUAAUAUUAAUUGCUUGUUAGCUUUAAUAAUAGUAAUGCCGCGGUCAUCGGUUCGAGCCCGAUAGUGACCA
Molecule: transfer RNA, 102 nt
Filed under: Dioszegia hungarica
Lineage: Eukaryota; Fungi; Basidiomycota; Tremellomycetes; Tremellales; Bulleribasidiaceae
Description: tRNA-Ile
Rfam family: tRNA
About the family: Transfer RNA (tRNA) molecules are approximately 80 nucleotides in length. Their secondary structure includes four short double-helical elements and three loops (D, anti-codon, and T loops).
Source: RNAcentral